RNAcentral lists this ribosomal RNA (484 nucleotides) under uncultured bacterium. RNAcentral's name for it is "partial 16S ribosomal RNA". It matches the Rfam family "Bacterial small subunit ribosomal RNA", at positions 30 to 507 of the family's 1533-position model. The record is from RNAcentral.
AUUGAACGCUGGCGGCAGGCCUAACACAUGCAAGUCGAGCGGAUGAAGGGAGCUUGCUCCUGGAUUCAGCGGCGGACGGGUGAGUAAUGCCUAGGAAUCUGCCUGGUAGUGGGGGAUAACGUCCGGAAACGGGCGCUAAUACCGCAUACGUCCUGAGGGAGAAAGUGGGGGAUCUUCGGACCUCACGCUAUCAGAUGAGCCUAGGUCGGAUUAGCUAGUUGGUGGGGUAAAGGCCUACCAAGGCGACGAUCCGUAACUGGUCUGAGAGGAUGAUCAGUCACACGGGAACUGAGACACGGUCCAGACUCCUACGGGAGGCAGCAGUGGGGAAUAUUGGACAAAGGGCGAAAGCCUGAUCCAGCCAUGCCGCGUGUGUGAAGAAGGUCUUCGGAUUGUAAAGCACUUUAAGUUGGGAGGAAGGGCAGUAAGUUAAUACCUUGCUGUUUUGACGGUACCAACAGAAUAAGCACCGGCUAACUUCGUG